GUCGCUCUUACCGAUGGACUUCUCUGUGAGUUUGAGGGACUGGAAACCUUUUUCUAUGGAAACUUAAACGAACAGUGUGGUCUAAAGGAAAGAG
RNAcentral lists this ribosomal RNA (94 nucleotides) under uncultured eukaryote. RNAcentral describes it as "partial small subunit ribosomal RNA". The record is from RNAcentral.